Molecule: ribosomal RNA, 521 nt
Filed under: Thalassiosira rotula
Lineage: Eukaryota; Bacillariophyta; Thalassiosirophyceae; Thalassiosirales; Thalassiosiraceae
Description: partial Bacterial small subunit ribosomal RNA
Rfam family: Bacterial small subunit ribosomal RNA
Source: RNAcentral
AUGGAGAGUUUGAUCCUGGCUCAGGACGAACGCUGGCGGCGUGCUUAACACAUGCAAGUCGAACGGAAAGGCCCUGCUUUUGUGGGGUGCUCGAGUGGCGAACGGGUGAGUAACACGUGAGUAACCUGCCCUUAACUCUGGGAUAAGCCUGGGAAACUGGGUCUAAUACCGGAUAGGACAAUCGUUUAGUGUCGGUUGUGGAAAGUUUUUUCGGUUAGGGAUGAGCCCGCGGCCUAUCAGCUUGUUGGUGGGGUAAUGGCCUACCAAGGCGUCGACGGGUAGCCGGCCUGAGAGGGUGGACGGCCACAUUGGGACUGAGAUACGGCCCAGACUCCUACGGGAGGCAGCAGUGGGGAAUAUUGCACAAUGGGCGCAAGCCUGAUGCAGCGACGCCGCGUGAGGGAUGACGGCCUUCGGGUUGUAAACCUCUUUCGACAGGGACGAAGCUUUGGUGACGGUACCUGUAUAAGAAGCACCGGCUAACUACGUGCCAGCAGCCGCGGUAAUACGUAGGGUGCAAG